AUACAACAUCUGGGGGCUAUGCCUUUUGAGCUUGGACGGACAAUGAUGACGCUUAGAAUGGGGCCUUCUCCUGCUAAUGCUUUUGUAAAUGCUGGGCAUGCUGUUUAUACAAACCCCACUGGACCAAGUCCAAUCAUGGUUCAGGCUACCUGUAUAGCUUUGCUUUCCUAUCAUGAACUGCUGACAACUUUGUUUUGGGCUAUCAUGCUAGCAUGCACUGUAACAUAUAUCACUAUGUAUCAACAUGCUACCUAA
This 255-nucleotide ribosomal RNA is filed under the name Triticum aestivum (bread wheat). Its description in RNAcentral is "partial small subunit ribosomal RNA". The record is from RNAcentral. Lineage: Eukaryota; Viridiplantae; Streptophyta; Magnoliopsida; Poales; Poaceae.